CCUACGGGAGGCAGCAGUGAGGAAUAUUGGUCAAUGGACGAGAGUCUGAACCAGCCAAGUAGCGUGAAGGAUGACUGCCCUAUGGGUUGUAAACUUCUUUUAUAUGGGAAUAAAAUGUUCCACGUGUGGGAUUUUGUAUGUACCAUAUGAAUAAGGAUCGGCUAACUCCGUGCCAGCAGCCGCGGUAAUACGGAGGAUCCGAGCGUUAUCCGGAUUUAUUGGGUUUAAAGGGAGCGUAGGUGGAUUGUUAAGUCAGUUGUGAAAGUUUGCGGCUCAACCGUAAAAUUGCAGUUGAAACUGACAGUGUUAAAUACAGAAGAGGGGGGCGGAAUUCGGGGUGUAGCGGUAAAAUGCUUAGAUAUCACGAAGAAUUCCGAUUGCGAGGGCAGCUCACUGGACUGCAACUGACACUGAGGCUCGAAAGUGUGGGUAUCAAACAGGAUUGGAUCCCCAAGUAGUC
RNAcentral lists this ribosomal RNA (460 nucleotides) under uncultured bacterium. RNAcentral describes it as "partial 16S ribosomal RNA". It matches the Rfam family "Bacterial small subunit ribosomal RNA", at positions 338 to 795 of the family's 1533-position model. The record is from RNAcentral.